Molecule: ribosomal RNA, 329 nt
Filed under: uncultured eukaryote
Lineage: Eukaryota
Description: partial 18S ribosomal RNA
Rfam family: Eukaryotic small subunit ribosomal RNA
Source: RNAcentral
CCCUUAGAUGUUCUGGGCCGCACGCGCGCUACACUGAUGCAUUCAACGAGUCUAAAACCUGCUCUGAUAGGGGUGGGUAAUCUUUUGAAUGUGCAUCGUGAUUGGGAUAGAUGAUUGCAAUUUUUCAUCUUCAACGAGGAAUGCCUAGUAAACGCAAGUCAUCAGCUUGCAUUGAUUACGUCCCUGCCCUUUGUACACACCGCCCGUCGCUCCUACCGAUUGAAUGAUCCGAUGAAUAUCAUGGAUUGAGGAUGCAAGUAGGUUAGCCUAUCUUCAUCUUCGAGAAGUGAAGUAAAUCGUAUCAUUUAGAGGAAGGAGAAGUCGUAACA